This is a long non-coding RNA of Gasterosteus aculeatus aculeatus (three-spined stickleback), 349 nucleotides long. The record is from Ensembl. NCBI's taxonomy places the organism in Eukaryota, Metazoa, Chordata, Actinopteri, Perciformes, Gasterosteidae.
GUCUCACCAGCUGGACACCGAAUGCACACGAAACGAGGCCGCGGGGCGGUUUGUUCCUCAGCUUCACGAGAUGAAGAAGGAGCUCCGGAGUCGUUCUCCCUGAUCUCAGCAUGCGGAGAGCUGAUGUGCUGCUCAACGUGGAUCCCCAAGCGAGAGACGCCUGCCUGAAUAACUCCACAAACACCGAUACCUUCUGUUCAGUGGCGAAAAAAGCACAGCGGAAGAUGUUAGAUGAAGAAGUGCUCUGCGGUUCUGAUCCCACUGAGGCCUGCGCUGACCUCCAUGGACUGCCUGCAGAACGCCACCGUGGCCCCCGACGCACUGGAGUGUGCGAAGUGCUUCUGAUCCC